CCCUUAGAUGUUCUGGGCCGCACGCGCACUACACUGAUGCAUUCAACGAGUCUAAAACCUGCUCUGAUAGGGGUGGGUAAUCUUUUGAAUGCGCAUCGUGAUUGGGAUAGAUGAUUGCAAUUUUUCAUCUUCAACGAGGAAUGCCUAGUAAACGCAAGUCAUCAGCUUGCAUUGAUUACGUCCCUGCCCUUUGUACACACCGCCCGUCGCUCCUACCGAUUGAAUGAUCCGAUGAAUAUCAUGGAUUGAGGAUGCAAGUAGGUUCGCCUAUCUUCAUCUUCGAGAAGUGAAGUAAAUCUUAUCAUUUAGAGGAAGGAGAAGUCGUAACA
RNAcentral lists this ribosomal RNA (329 nucleotides) under uncultured eukaryote. RNAcentral describes it as "partial 18S ribosomal RNA". It matches the Rfam family "Eukaryotic small subunit ribosomal RNA", at positions 1470 to 1796 of the family's 1831-position model. The record is from RNAcentral.